GUGUCAGCAGCCGCGGUAAUACAGAGGUCUCAAGCGUUGUUCGGAUUCAUUGGGCGUAAAGGGUGCGCAGGCUGUGAGGCAAGUCGGGUGUGAAAUCCCGGGGCUCAACCCCGGAACUGCAUCCGAUACUGCCUUGCUGGAGGACUGGAGAGGGGACUGGAAUUCUCGGUGUAGCAGUGAAAUGCGUAGAUAUCGAGAGGAACACCGGUGGCGAAGGCGGGUCCCUAGACAGAUCCUGACGCUGAGGCACGAAGGCCAGGGGAGCAAACGGGAUUAGAAACCCCCGUAGUCC
RNAcentral lists this ribosomal RNA (292 nucleotides) under uncultured bacterium. Its description in RNAcentral is "partial 16S ribosomal RNA". It matches the Rfam family "Bacterial small subunit ribosomal RNA", at positions 505 to 796 of the family's 1533-position model. The record is from RNAcentral.